GAUGAACGCUGGCGGCGUGCCUAAUACAUGCAAGUCGAGCGAACAGACGAGGAGCUUGCUCCUCUGAUGUUAGCGGCGGACGGGUGAGUAACACGUGGAUAACCUACCUAUAAGACUGGGAUAACUUCGGGAAACCGGAGCUAAUACCGGAUAACAUGUUGAACCGCAUGGUUCAACAGUGAAAGACGGUCUUGCUGUCACUUAUAGAUGGAACCGCGCCGCAUUAGCUAGUUGGUAAGGUAACGGCUUACCAAGGCAACGAUGCGUAGCCGACCUGAGAGGGUGAUCGGCCACACUGGAACUGAGACACGGUCCAGACUCCUACGGGAGGCAGCAGUAGGGAAUCUUCCGCAAUGGGCGAAAGCCUGACGGAGCAACGCCGCGUGAGUGAAGAAGGUCUUCGGAUCGUAAAACUCUGUUAUUAGGGAAGAACAAAUGUGUAAGUAACUAUGCACGUCUUGACGGUACCUAAUCAGAAAGCCACGGCUAACUACGUG
Molecule: ribosomal RNA, 497 nt
Filed under: uncultured bacterium
Lineage: Bacteria
Description: partial 16S ribosomal RNA
Rfam family: Bacterial small subunit ribosomal RNA
Source: RNAcentral